GGCAGCAGGUACAGGACUGGGGACCCUUAUCUCAGAGAAUGUUCCGGAAGCAAGCCUUGGAAGGCUGGGGCAGAGUGUGGGGUCAGCCUUGGCUUCUUUUCGAGUGAGGGUCAUAUAAAAGAGGAGUCACUAUUUGAAGCCACCCUGCGAGCCAUGAGGCUCGGGGUGAAGUGUAUCCGCAAAGCGUUACCCCCAGAAACGGACUCCUAGCGGCAAAGCUCCCGGAGGUGGGACUGCCACCGCAUCCAAGGGUUUAUGCACGGACGGCUGCUGAGGUGUGAUGAAUCCACAUCACUACGGCGGCCACCCGCGUGCCUGGUGGACCAAGGCGGCAAGUGCUAGUCGAGUUCAGAUCGAUCAUGCAGAGCCCUUGGCCGGUCAGUAAAUUAGGUCAUACUAACAAAAAUGAAGGCCACGGACAGAUAAAGUAACAAGAUUUCCCGCAGCCCCCCGCCGGGAAUGGUGGUUCACAAACUUGUUGAAAAUGCAGAUUCCUGACCAUUCCUGCAUCUCUCUCACCGCACCAGAUGGAAUCAAUAGGUCGGGGCCGGGCAUCUGCACUUUAACAAGCACCACCUGCCCCAAGUAUGGGGUACAGGUGGCAGCAAGGGAGCCUCAGACCACUCUGAAAAACGUGUCCCAGGAGAGUGGGUCUCAAGUUCGGCCCCCCCCCAGGUGAGCAGCAUCGGCAGCACCUGGCAACUUGCUAGAAAUGUUUUCAUUCCUGGUCUCCCCCCAACCUACUGAA
This is a long non-coding RNA of Mustela erminea (ermine), 748 nucleotides long. RefSeq lists it as uncharacterized. NCBI's taxonomy places the organism in Eukaryota, Metazoa, Chordata, Mammalia, Carnivora, Mustelidae. The record is from RefSeq and is a predicted model, not a curated record. The transcript is spliced from 3 exons.